Molecule: ribosomal RNA, 459 nt
Filed under: Gammaproteobacteria bacterium
Lineage: Bacteria; Pseudomonadati; Pseudomonadota; Gammaproteobacteria
Description: bacterial SSU rRNA
Rfam family: Bacterial small subunit ribosomal RNA
Source: RNAcentral
UUAAGUCCCGUAACGAGCGCAACCCCUAUCCUUAUUUGCCAGCGAGUAAUGUCGGGAACUCUAAGGAGACUGCCGGUGACAAACCGGAGGAAGGUGGGGACGACGUCAAGUCAUCAUGGCCCUUACGGGUAGGGCUACACACGUGCUACAAUGGCAAGUACAAAGGGUUGCAAUACUGCGAAGUGGAGCCAAUCCCAUAAAGCUUGCCUCAGUCCGGAUUGGAGUCUGCAACUCGACUCCAUGAAGUCGGAAUCGCUAGUAAUCGUGGAUCAGAAUGCCACGGUGAAUACGUUCCCGGGCCUUGUACACACCGCCCGUCACACCAUGGGAGUGGACUGCACCAGAAGUGGUUAGCCUAACCUUCGGGAGGGCGAUCACCACGGUGUGGUUCAUGACUGGGGUGAAGUCGUAACAAGGUAGCCCUAGGGGAACCUGGGGCUGGAUCACCUCCUUAUCGAC